CUGAACACCCUUCCCCUCACCUCUGGGAGGCGACUCCAACAGCUCUAGUUGUUUAGGGGAAGGUCAUGGCCUUGGACGGGCUUCCCUGAAUCCACCCUGUCGCCUCCCUGACCACCCCCAUGUCCAGGUCCUCAGGGAGCUCUGGAGGCACCGGCUCGGGCCCUGCAGCCGGGCAGGCCUGUGCGGCUCCCAGGCUCCUGCGUGGGGAAGGAAGGGUGGCCAAGACGUGUUUACAGAGAGCCAGCCAGGAAGGGCAAGGGAAGAGGAGGAGCUGUUUCCACUUAUCCUCCCACCUCCUUUUGGCUUUCUCUCCUGGCAUUGCCGGAGGCCAGAGAAGGGAUGGGAAUCUGGCAAAGUGAAAGUAUAUCAUUGUAUUUCCCCAGAGCCCUCCGUCUCAUCUCCCCCCUACGGAAGCCAGGCUGGACUUCUUUCCACCCAGUUUACUUAACACUCAGAGACUCAAAAUUCCUUUCCUGCCGCUGAUGUGGAAGAGGCUUGGAAAUAGGUUCCUUUCCAGGAGAUGAGUGAUAUGGCAGAGAGACAAGCCUUGUAGGUGUGUGGUGUGUAUGUGUAGGAAAAGCCAGUAAUUACCCCUUGCAGAUGGAGCUGACCAAACAUUCUUUCCCAUGGCAACUGAAAACAUAAAAAAAUAAAAUUAAAAAAAUUGGAGGUUACAUAAUUGCCGUCCCUGGAGGAGGAGGAGGAAUGUGGAGAUCAUGGAGUUUCUUGUGGCUUUGGUUGGAGGUGUUGGUGAAGAUACAGAGGUACUGCUGAGCAGCUGAACAGGAUGCUGUUGCUUGCUUUGAAGUGAGGACAUCGAAGAUUUGUUCAGGACCAGGUAGCUGAUGAGAGAGAGAAAAGAAAGAGCCCAGCUGUCAGCCCAGGUCCUCCUCCUUGCUCAGGAGCCACCCACCACACAUGUGACUCUAUGGGGCCUCAUUUUAUUUCUCUCUGGAACUCUCUACUCUCUUUGCAGAUUAUUUGUUAGGACCUCUUAUACAAUUUCCUUUUUUAAUUUAAGGCCAUGUGCCACAAAGCUUUAUUGUGAUGUAUUUAAAUAAAAUAAUCUUUUGUU
Long non-coding RNA from Pipistrellus kuhlii (Kuhl's pipistrelle), 1075 nucleotides. RefSeq lists it as uncharacterized. The transcript is spliced from 3 exons. Lineage: Eukaryota; Metazoa; Chordata; Mammalia; Chiroptera; Vespertilionidae. The record is from RefSeq and is a predicted model, not a curated record.